AUGGAACUAGGUUACACCGAGUAUUUCCCUUUAUAAUCUGCCUUAACGCUUGUGUCAAACUACAACUACAGCAAAGAUAUGGGAAGACUAUAAUUUCAUUUUUGCAGUGAAAGUUAGAAUGAAUGUGUAGCAAAGAACAGCAACACUUUCCCCACAACCCAAAAUUUGGUUGAUUAAAAAAAUGCCUGCUAACUUUAGGAAAACAAUCUCAUUGGUUGGUAUGUAUUUAAAGAGAUGUCAUUAUGCAUAAAAUGACAGAGUGGCAUCUCCCUAAAAGAACACAAAACAGAUGAAAAUGCUACAUACAAGACAAAUGUGCAUUUUGGCUGCCCCUUUCAUGCCAAAAUAAAAUUGGAGGAGAAAAAAUAAAAGAAGAGAACCCCUCAAUAACCUCAUUUUCUGAAAAAAGUAUUAAAAAAAUCUAGCCUUUCAAACAAAUCACUGAUUGGAUUCACCAACAUAAGGCCUGGAAUUAUUGCUCUAAAUUACAUGGUUAGAGCUGACUGAAAAUUUAAGGCACAAUUUGACAACAAUUAUAAUCAUUUCCUUUUAUUCUCAUGUGGCAGGCAUAUGCAUGGCACUUCUGCCACUGAUGCUAUGGAUGCAGAUAGCUACUUUGAUUAAAGAGCUCAAAAAGUUUUACAUUUUUUAACUAACUCUCACAAUACCCCUGUGAGGUAGGUAAUAUAGCGUCCCCAUUACAGAGAUGUAUAAACUGGGGCAGAGAGAGAAAAGGGCUAUGAGACUUGUCUAAGGUGACAAAGGGAGAAAGAGGUAGAGCUGCAAACAGAAUCCAGGAGUUCUGAUUCCCAGCACUGGACUCUAAAGACUGCAAAAAUGUAAAGAGGAUAUCACCAUUUUGGGUUUGGUCUUUUCUUUUUUUUUAGAUUUAGGAAUAACCAGGAAGACACACAAACAACAAAAAGAAAGUUUCAGAUUAGCCCCGUUAGCAUAGCUGAAAAAUCAAUGGGUGGUUGGUUAUACAUGGUUUAAUGCCAAAAAGAUUGAGAAUGCAGCAGCACAGAAAUGAAGACAGGACAAGUAUAAUGAAAACUGCACUGGUUACCUACUGUUGCCUAUACCUUUAAUUAGUCAUAGUCUCAGGACAAUCUAAAAUGUGUAUAUUAUUUUUAUAUAUGUAGUUCCUAACUGUUCUACUGAGUUUUCAAUAGUUAGUGUCUCUAAAAACAAAGCUGAGAACUUCUGUGUUCACCAUGAACCCUAGAUUACUAUGGACUCACCAGUGGAGUUGGAUUGAUUUACAGAUGGCUUAAGGAGAGGUGCAGUAUUGCCAGUCACAUUUCAUUUACAAUGCACAAGGGCUCUAGCAUCAAGACAGCCAAACAACUGUGUCAACUGGAAACUUGAAAUGCCGAGUAGGAACAGCAAUCCUUCUGGAAAUAUAUAUAUGGAAAACAGCCUUUCCCAAGCCCAAAGGAAUGAUGCUAGGGUGUGAGGUUCAACCAGAGUUUAUCUUGGUGAGCAUAAUCUACUCACAAUCUUCAAUACUUGAAACAAAGGACAACUGACAUUGUCAUCAUCUUGGCACCAGCCUGGGCAUGGUUUGAAGGGAGAAGACAAAACCUGAGUCCAACAGAAGUAACACUGUUAUUCCCAGAAAAGUCACAUUAUUCGGAUUUUUAGUAACUAGGAAAAUGGUGUCUGCACAGGAAGUAGAGCAAAUCAGAAAACAAGAAAGAUUUUGUGAAAAGUUUCAAAAUGUGCUUGUUUCAUAACGUCCAGAACAGAUCCAUUUUCCACGAACAUUUUUGUGACAUUUUUACAGGUUUUUUUUUUACCAUUCAGUUUUUGAAAUCAUUACCGAAAACUUUUGUUUAUUAAAAAUGGUUUUGAGUAAGAAAACUUCAUUUUUGGUAAAUGAAAAACUGAGAACCAUUUCAAAAACUAUGAGGAUAAAAAUGUCAACAACAUAUUGAUUAAACUAUUAACAACAACUAUUGUGAAAGAUAUUGUGAGAACAGAAAAUAGACAAUUUUCCCCAAAAAGUAUUGAAGAAAAAAGGUCAAUUUCUCAACAAAAUAGAAGUUUAGUGUAAAACAUUUUGACCAGCUUUAACAGAAGUAAUGUUCUCAGAGUCCUUAUAUCAAUUCACGCUUUACUAACUUCUAUGUGGCCUUAGGUAGUCCUCUCCAUCUCUUUGCAGUAGAUCCUCAAAAUCAACAUGCAACUAGUGUUUCCCAUGUAGAAUUUCACCACCCAAAUCCACAGCACACAUCCUUAUGCGUCAACCCUGAUUUAUAGUGUUGAUAUCUAUAUAAAGCGUGAUCAGCACUACUUGAUGAACUAAUAUCAAAUCAGCCCACAGAAUCAAACACAGGAACCAGACAUUAAUAAAAGGCAAGUAGAAAACCAAAAAAACCCCCUCUGAGCUGUUCAGUUUCUAGACAAAAAAAGGGGAAUCACGGAAUUUUAUGUUCUAAACUGGAGUAAAGCAAAGUGACAAGAUUUCCCUCUCUUUUCCUCCCUCCCCCAUGGAUCUUGAUGAUGGGAUUUUCUGGGUUGGAGGCUUAGGGCACAAAAUGUGUGUUACUAGACUGGAUUUAAUUGGUGAUUGUGUGCACCGGUCUCCACACACAAUAUCUAUAUCGAGAACUCUUUUAUGCUUGUAGGAUGUGUAAUUCACCCCCGGAUAAUGAGCUAACCCAAGGCCUAUGUCACACUUAAUUCCUGCUUCUGAUGUAUGUGUGUAGAGCUCACCCUGGCACACGUUUCGCUUCCCCCAUGUCUCUAGGACUAAGUCAUUCCCCAAGUGUUUUGCAGCUGUGAUAAAAAUUUACCAAUGAUUUAAAAAAAAUCAUAAUGAAAGGUGCAUUAUCUAAAGCUGUGAUGUUGUCUUCUGCUUUAAAAGGCAACAUUCAGGCAACAAUUAAAAUAAAAUAAUAAAUGUCAAUAAAGCAAAUUACAUUAACAAAAUACGAUCAUUAACUUUGAUGAUGUCACUAGGGAUUUGGCUGUAACCAAGGCAACCAAAUCUGAUGUAGUAAAUUCAAGCAUCUGUUUAUGUCCCAUUGAGGAAUGGAUUUAAGCAUGUGCUGAAUAUUAAGUACAUGUUUAAAUACUUUCCAGAACCAAGGCUUAAACAAGGGCUUGUUCCUGAACCCCAAACUCCCAAUGAGGUGACCUGAAACACAGGAUCAAGCCCUAAUUUCACACAAAUGCUAGAAAAGCCAAAGAACUACCAGCAAAAAAUUGGCAGAUUGAAAUAGAAAGGUCUAGGUGAUGUUCACAUUCCUAGUCAAAGGAAAAUUGCUGAAUUUCAAUGCGUCAGCAAACAACGUGAGUAUUUAUCGUGACUUUAGAAGUGUACCUUAAAGGAACAAGGUCUCUUUGGUAAAAAAAAAAUGCUUCUUCUUUGGAAUAGAUAAAUGAGGAUAUGUAUUAAAUACAUGAUAAAGAUUGUGGCUAAGCAAUAUUUUGUUGGUGCUUUAGGGCAAUGCCAUGAUUAAAGAUCCACCAGCACUUCCACUUUAAACCCUCGAGUAUUGGGGCUGAAAAUUUGACAGGCAGAUGGGUCAUGACAGAGACUCUGUGUGUGUGUGUGCACGCGCGCGCAAGUGUGUAUCUUCCAAAAUAUAUUUAUAGGAGUUUAGGCAUCACAUACGAACGCAUUUUUUAGAAAAUACUCCAGGCACUUAUUCACUCACUCAAAUGGGCAACUGGCUUUGGUUAUUUUAGCGGGAAAAAACAAAUUAAAAUAAUAGUAUUAUUCCGAUAUUUCAAGCCUGAAAAUUAGCUACUGUACAUACAAUGAGAACAACAUUCUCCCUUCUCCUUCCAUCCAAGAAGGUCAAAAUGCUUGAGAAACUUUGAUCUAAGAGCCCCCCCCAACCAAAUCCAAAGAACACCCUAAAAAUGAAAGUUCAGAUCUAGACCUCUUGGCUAGCUCUUGGUGCUGGAAUGGGCUGCUCCAAAACCACAAACCCAACUAAACUUUUUCUGAAAAGGAGGAUCUGGAUUUGAACUUAUGCAGUGUUGGCCAAGCUAAAAUUACUUAAUUUAGUCACUUCACUUCCCUGGGAAAUUAGUAAAAAUUAUCAAGCUCUGUUGUGAAGUGGGGUAGACAGAGAGGUUAAGUGACUUGCUCAAAAUUGCACAGUGAGUCUGUGGCAGGGGCACUGAAAGAACCCAGGAAUCCAGACUUCUGGUCUCCCUCCUCUAAUUGCUAGACCACAUUCCCUUUUCCUAAUUACAGUAGCUAAUUCUCACCACUUUCUAAUAUGGCACUCAGUGUGAUAGAGAGACUGACUUAAACCUACAAGGACACACAAGUUCAGAGCUAUAGUUGCUACAUCAGUGCCAUGGUCUGUUGUAUACAUCACAUCCCCAGUGUGCUUUGGAGAGAAGAUGCUCAGAAACCCAGUUCUAAGGCAUGAUGGAAUGUGUGAUAAAGCGAUAUUAGCCACCCGCACUCUGAACUUCCAUGCUUUGGCAGAUUCAGUUCAGACAAGUUAUAUAAUGCUAGCAAGCUCAAAAUUACCUUAGGUGCCAGGGCUAAUGACCAGUAGAACAAAUGGAACCUAUUAGAAGUCAUGUC
Molecule: long non-coding RNA, 4555 nt
Organism: Dermochelys coriacea (leatherback sea turtle)
Lineage: Eukaryota; Metazoa; Chordata; Testudines; Dermochelyidae
Exons: 2
Source: RefSeq, a predicted model, not a curated record